Molecule: ribosomal RNA, 232 nt
Filed under: uncultured bacterium
Lineage: Bacteria
Description: partial 16S ribosomal RNA
Rfam family: Bacterial small subunit ribosomal RNA
Source: RNAcentral
UGAGCAAUCUGCCCUUCUCUUUGGAAUAAGCGUGGGAAACCGCGUCUAAUGCCGAAUACGACCUCCUUUCGCAUGAUCGGAGGUGGAAAGCUCCGGCGGAGAAGGAUGAGCGUCGCGGCCUAUCAGCUAGUUGGUGUGGGUAAUGGCCCACCAAGGCGACGACGGGUAGCCGGCCUGAGAGGGUGACCGGCCACACUGGGACUGAGACACGGCCCAGACCUCCUACGGGAGG